This 464-nucleotide ribosomal RNA is filed under the name uncultured Acidobacteriota bacterium. RNAcentral describes it as "uncultured Acidobacteria bacterium partial 16S ribosomal RNA". It matches the Rfam family "Bacterial small subunit ribosomal RNA", at positions 338 to 794 of the family's 1533-position model. Lineage: Bacteria; Pseudomonadati; Acidobacteriota. The record is from RNAcentral.
CCUACGGGAGGCAGCAGUGGGGAAUUGUUCGCAAUGGGCGCAAGCCUGACGACGCAACGCCGCGUGGAGGACGAAGACCUUCGGGUCGUAAACUCCUGUCGAGUGGGACGAAUGACCUGGCCGUGAAUAGCGGCUGGGAAUGACGGUACCGCGAGAGGAAGCCCCGGCUAACUCCGUGCCAGCAGCCGCGGUAAUACGGGGGGGCAAGUGUUGUUCGGAAUUACUGGGCGUAAAGGGCUCGUAGGCGGCUCUCUAAGUCGGUGGUGAAAUCCCCCGGCUCAACCGGGGAAGGGCGUCCGAGACUGGGGAGCUUGAAUCCGGGAGAGGGACGUGGAAUUCCAGGUGUAGCGGUAAAAUGCGUAGAUAUCUGGAGGAACACCGGUGGCGAGGGCGGCGUCCUGGACCGGUAUUGACGCUGAGGAGCGAAAGCCAGGGGAGCAAACGGGAUUAGAUACCCUAGUAGU